GGUGGAUUAGUCUAGUGGUUAUGACGUUUCGUUGUGGCCGAAACAGCCCGUGUUCGAUUCACGGAUCCGCCA
RNAcentral lists this transfer RNA (72 nucleotides) under Phaeoacremonium minimum UCRPA7. RNAcentral's name for it is "tRNA-His (GTG) (tRNA-His-GTG-2-1)". It matches the Rfam family "tRNA". Rfam says of the family: Transfer RNA (tRNA) molecules are approximately 80 nucleotides in length. Their secondary structure includes four short double-helical elements and three loops (D, anti-codon, and T loops). Lineage: Eukaryota; Fungi; Ascomycota; Sordariomycetes; Togniniales; Togniniaceae. The record is from RNAcentral.